Molecule: ribosomal RNA, 789 nt
Filed under: uncultured archaeon
Lineage: Archaea
Description: bacterial SSU rRNA
Rfam family: Archaeal small subunit ribosomal RNA
Source: RNAcentral
ACUGCUCAGUAACACGUGGAUAACCUGCCCUGCGGUGGGAAAUAACCCCGGGAAACUGGGGAUAAUGUCCCAUAGACUACGGGUACUGGAAUGUUCUGUAGUUCAAAGAUUUAUCGCCACAGGAUGGGUCUGCGGCCGAUUAGGUAGUUGUUGGGGUAACGGCCCAACAAGCCUUUGAUCGGUACGGGUUGUGGGAGCAAGAGCCCGGAGAUGGAUUCUGAGACACGAAUCCAGGCCCUACGGGGCGCAGCAGGCGCGAAAACUUUACAAUGCGGGAAACCGUGAUAAGGGAACUCCGAGUGUCCGUAAAUGCGGACUGUCCGUAUGUUUAAAAAGCAUGCGAAGAAAGGGCCGGGCAAGACCGAUGCCAGCCGCCGCGGUAAUACCGGCGGCUCGAGUGGUGGCCACUAUUACUGGGCUUAAAGCGUUCGUAGCUGGGUUGUUAAGUUUCUUGGGAAAUCUACCGGCUUAACCGAUAGGCGUCCAAGGGAUACUGGCAAUCUAGGGACCGGGAGAGGUGAGGGGUACUUCAGGGGUAGGAGUGAAAUCCUGUAAUCCUUGGGGGACCACCUGUGGCGAAGGCGCCUCACCAGAACGGCUCCGACAGUGAGGGACGAAAGCUGGGGGAGCAAACCGGAUUAGAUACCCGGGUAGUCCCAGCCGUAAACGAUGCGCGUUAGGUGUAUCGAUGACCACGAGUCAUCGAGGUGCCGAAGGGAAACCGUGAAACGCGCCGCCUGGGAAGUACGGUCGCAAGGCUGAAACUUAAAGGAAUUGGCGGGGGAGCAC